AGAGUUUGAUCCUGGCUCAGGAUGAACGCUGGCGGCGUGCCUAACACAUGCAAGUCGAGCGAUCUCUUCGGAGAGAGCGGCGGACGGGUGAGUAACGCGUGGGUAACCUGCCCUGUACACACGGAUAACAUACCGAAAGGUAUGCUAAUACGGGAUAAUAUAUAAGAGUCGCACGACUUUUAUAUCAAAGAUUUUUCGGUACAGGAUGGACCCGCGUCUGAUUAGCUUGUUGGCGGGGUAACGGCCCACCAAGGCGACGAUCAGUAGCCGACCUGAGAGGGUGAUCGGCCACAUUGGAACUGAGACACGGUCCAAACUCCUACGGGAGGCAGCAGUGGGGAAUAUUGCACAAUGGGCGCAAGCCUGAUGCAGCAACGCCGCGUGAGCGAUGAAGGCCUUCGGGUCGUAAAGCUCUGUCCUCAAGGAAGAUAAUGACGGUACUUGAGGAGGAAGCCCCGGCUAACUACGUGCCAGCAGCCGCGGUAAUACGUAGGGGGCUAGCGUUAUCCGGAUUUACUGGGCGUAAAGGGUGCGUAGGCGGUCUUUCAAGUCAGGAGUUAAAGGCUACGGCUCAACCGUAGUAAGCUCCUGAUACUGUCUGACUUGAGUGCAGGAGAGGAAAGCGGAAUUCCCAGUGUAGCGGUGAAAUGCGUAGAUAUUGGGAGGAACACCAGUAGCGAAGGCGGCUUUCUGGACUGUAACUGACGCUGAGGCACGAAAGCGUGGGGAGCAAACAGGAUUAGAUACCCUGGUAGUCCACGCUGUAAACGAUGAGUACUAGGUGUCGGAGGUUACCCCCUUCGGUGCCGCAGCUAAC
RNAcentral lists this ribosomal RNA (817 nucleotides) under uncultured bacterium. Its description in RNAcentral is "bacterial SSU rRNA". It matches the Rfam family "Bacterial small subunit ribosomal RNA", at positions 8 to 856 of the family's 1533-position model. The record is from RNAcentral.